RNAcentral lists this ribosomal RNA (248 nucleotides) under uncultured bacterium. RNAcentral's name for it is "partial 16S ribosomal RNA". It matches the Rfam family "Bacterial small subunit ribosomal RNA", at positions 109 to 339 of the family's 1533-position model. The record is from RNAcentral.
AGUAACGGGUGGAAAACCUGCCCUUCAAUGGGGGAUAACAGUUCUAACGAACUGCUAAUACCGCAUACGACCUUAGGAUCGCAUGGUCUCUAGGUGAAAGGUGGCGAUCUCUUCGGAGAGCUGCCGUUGAAGGAUGGUUCCGCCUCCCAUUAGCUUGUUGGUGGGGUAAUGGCCUACCAAGGCGACGAUGGGUAGCCGGCCUGAGAGGGUGUCCGGCCACACUGGGACUGAGAUACGGCCCAGACUCC